CUUGAUGGCGAGCCAGGUCUUCCAGUGGAGGUGGCGCACCUUGUACACCUGCCCGAAGCCCCCCGAGCCGAUCUUCUCCCAGCUGCCGAACUCGCUCUCCUCGAAGGCUCUCAGCAGCCCCACGGCCCAGGGGGAGCCGCUGUCCCGCGACAUGGCUGAGACCGACCCUGCCCUGCCCGGCCCGGCCCGGCUCGGCUCGGCUCGGCUCAGCACCGCCGCCCUCCCAGCGCCGGCCCAGGGCCUGCGUCCCUCUGGCACGAGGGAAACCCUUCAUCAACCCUUCAUCUGUAUCUCCCAGACCCAUCCUGCGGAGGAUGGAGGCUGCCCGGGCAUGUUAGGAGCAUUUCUUAGGCUCUGGGAAACUCUGCUGCCACGCACUCGUACCGCAGGACCGAUGGCCGAGGCGUAAUCAGUUGCUGAGACGCUGCAGCUGAAAAGGAGGGAGCCUGCAACCUUUGGUACAUAACGUAAUCCUAAGGAGGCUACUCCUAUCUGCAUCGUGACCUUCACGCCUAUCACAUGGCUAAAGCAGGAUCCAUGUGGAGGGACUUGUGUGCUCUCAAGAAGCUCUGCUUAAAUUGAAGAAAUUUGCAGAACCAGGGCCUUGGACACUGUGUCUUCUGGAGGUGUGCACGACCGACUUCCCAACAGUACACCAAAUGUUUUAUUCCACUAAUGAUACAUUACCAUUCAAACACCUCUUUCAUUAGACAGAUGGCAAAAACUGUAAAACAAAAUGAACUGUGCAAAACUCAGGUUGCAGUUGAGUUUAAGCAAGAAAUGGAUUGUGUACCUUCUACCUGUACUGUGAUUGGAGAGCUAAUUCAGCACACACCAGCAGCAAAGGAGAGCUCAUGACAGAACAUGAAAAGAGCUGGUCUAAGAGAAUUUAGAUUACUCAAGUGCUUUCAAAAAGGCUAGGCCUAAAUAAAAGCCACACUUAAGGUGCCUAGAGAACGGCUACUCAGCCUCAGAGGAUUUAGCUGGUGAAGUGUAGGAAAGCUGGAAAAGGGCACCAGAAGAGCUCCUCUUAAAGACGCACAAAAAGAUGGUGGCAAAGGAAUCCCAGAGCAGUCAGCUCCCCAGUUAAAAAUAAAUAAAACACGCUAGCAGAUAGCCAGGAUGGCAAAAAGCAGCCAAUACUAGAUUUAUUGAAAACAAAUCAUGUGAAACCAGCCUAAUGUAUCUUUCUGUGGCAAGGUAACCAACCUUGUUUAUCUUCUCCUCUCAUGUGCAUGUACGGGCAUCACAAAGAAAACUCCCCUUCUUACUCUUGUUUCUCUACUUGCGGUAUUUCUUGCUCCAGUCAGAGAACAGGAUUUCAUACAGUGCUUUAGCUUUUUCUUUUUUUACAAGGAUAUCCGUCUAAAGGUUUGCUUGAUGCAUGUGAAAUAAACCAGCCCAAAGCUUCAAAAGGUUGGUGGGCAUCUUGGCCCUUGUUACAGCUAAGAUGUUCUGUGAAGAGGCAGCAGAUUUUAACUAUGUAACACCAGCUUUAGAGCUGAUACAGAAGAGCACUGAUUUGCAAGCUUUCCAAAAGAUAAAACAAACAUCCAUUUAUUCAUCCACUCCUCAAACAUUUAAGCUGUGGCUUAGGUUUUUAUGCACAAACGGUGCAAUACUGCAGUUGGCUUAAGCUGAUCUAAAAUGACAUUAUUACUGAAGGAGGUUUGCCGUCCCCUCUUUUGUCUUGGCACUAGUGCUCACACACUAGUUGUACUAGCAUUCACAUGGUUGAACAGUAACUGAAUCAGCUCAGUAAUCUCACAUGAGGGGAAGAAAAAAAACAAACCACACCACUCCCUUUCUUAGUUUUCAGACAGGUGAGAAAGCUGGCCUGACUUACCACAAGCUCACUAAUGUCAACAGAGAGGGAGGCAAGCAGGCUGGAAGGGAACUACCUCCAAAGAAGGUGAUGAAAGGGGCACAGUUGCACAUGGUAGCAGAUGCAGUGGCAAACUCAGUUUAAGGAAUUCCUUGCUGAUCUCAUGUAAAGUGCACCCUCACAAAAAACAGAAUUGUGGUGUGGAGGUGGAAAUGAGCAGAAGGAAGAGGGUGGGGAUUCCUACACUAAAA
Cygnus olor (mute swan) is the source of this 2076-nucleotide long non-coding RNA. RefSeq lists it as uncharacterized. NCBI's taxonomy places the organism in Eukaryota, Metazoa, Chordata, Aves, Anseriformes, Anatidae. The transcript has 4 exons. The record is from RefSeq and is a predicted model, not a curated record.